RNAcentral lists this transfer RNA (72 nucleotides) under Bugula neritina. It matches the Rfam family "tRNA". From Rfam's summary of the family: Transfer RNA (tRNA) molecules are approximately 80 nucleotides in length. Their secondary structure includes four short double-helical elements and three loops (D, anti-codon, and T loops). Lineage: Eukaryota; Metazoa; Bryozoa; Gymnolaemata; Cheilostomatida; Bugulidae. The record is from Rfam by way of RNAcentral. RNAcentral also lists the same sequence under 2 other names.
AGCAGAGUGGCGCAGUGGAAGCGUGCUGGGCCCAUAACCCAGAGGUCGGUGGAUCGAAACCACUCUCUGCUA